CCACUUGGAGGCGCCUUCAGCCAAUUCUUCCACGACUGCCCAAGAGGACAUCUCCCUAAAAAAAGACAUCUCCCUCGGCCCUAGCAGAUUCCACCCCUCCAUCGAUCUUGCCCCAGCGAGGCAGCGACAUGCCGUGGAGGGAUCCCUAGCGCCGCUCCUCCUCCUCUCCAGUUUCCACAUCGGGAUUCCUUCUAAUAAAGAUCCAAGCAGUAUCUUCUUGAUGCCCUUCCUCUCCAACCAUUGAAUCGCCUCUGCCCCAAAGUGCCCUAGCAGGAAACAUACUGUUGCUGCAAUUUUUCUUUUGGCAUGCAAGGGCUGAAGUCUGUUGAAUUCAGGUACUGUUGCUGCCAUUUUUCUUCAUCUAAUUUUCUCUACUAUUUUUCAAAAUGAUACAAUGGAAUUUCAUUAUGUGGUUGCAACCGUGAUAGUAAACUGUCAUAAAAGUUGGGAAAGAAAUGACAUCACUGCUCACAUAACUCAGACUAAAUUCGCUUCUCAUGUUAUUUGAUAGUGUGAUUUUUAUCACAGUGAACACCACCACCACUGCUUGGCCACUUCACCACCUACCUCUAGCCGUUCAGUAACCUACAGGUCAUGCUUUGCAAAUUAUCAGCCUUCGUCGGUUGGUUAUUUGUUGUUUAUUUUGCUCACCACUAUUUCCGUGUUAUUAAUUGGAGAAAGUAUGAUGUAUCGCUUAUCCAUACUGUUGGUGUAGCCCAGACAACGGUCUGUGAUGCAAGAUCCUUGGUUUUCAAAUGAUUGAUCUCCAUGUAAUUCAGAUUUAUGGUGGCAUAAUACGCAUUGAUAUUAACACAUUUCCUCAACUAAGUUUAUGAUUGUCUUCAGUCCCUACAAUAAUUUAUAGUGCAGGCCGCAGAUAUGGUUAGUGCAAUUCCAACUCCAUAGAGAACUUACUGUAAAUGACCGAUUCCGUGGCUUACUCCAUCCAGAGGUUUUGCUUUUUCUUCAGUCAUCCAUACCUCAAACCUGAUAGUGCUUACUAAUUUCGCAAAUAUCUGGUGCAUGUACAUCCCUUCAUAUGAAACCUAUAAAUUACUUUCUUUUAGGAAAUACUCUAAUUGCAGAGAUUUAUUCUUUGUUAAUGGCUUGACUAAUUUGGAUUACUCUUAUAUUUAUUUUCUCUAUCGUGAAUUUUUCGCAGGUACGAGUAAAUAUUGGUUCUUUGACAUUGAUCCUUAAAUUUAAUAGUACUAAUUCAGAAGAUGGGUGCAUAACGAUAUCAUCGGAUUAAUCAAGUACCACAAAUACAAUCAUAAGGGUAGCGACUAAGGUGUGCUUUCCCUUGGUGAUUGUCCGAGGGUAGAUUUUUUAUUUCCGAAUUGGCAAGAAAGGUCCAACUGACAAUAAAAGUCUAUAAUGGUGUUUCCGCAUCUACUAGGAGACUGCUUUUCACUAUUUUCAGUUGACUCCACAUUGUUUCUGUCCUGAACCUGGAAGAUAUAUGCUCCUUAAUGCGCAGCCUGGGUCUUUUCAUUGUAUUUUCGCGAAUAUACAAAGAUUACGUAUCAUUUCAUUGAUACGAGUGAAACAACAAAAUUCGGCAAUGCACAGAGCCGCCGACACGAACCUGCUUGGUGCGCAAUCACAAGAGCAGAACAGAGAAGUGGGUUGCUCAGCCCACAACAUCACCGGCAGGAUCACAUCCUAAAUGUAUUGUAUUUUCUAGAUCCAUAUUAGUACCUACAAAACCUACAUAUUAUAUUCAAGUUUAACCUACUAGAAUUUUUCAAUUGGAUUUUUGUUGCAAUAUUUUUAAAUUUAUCAAGCUUUUAUUUUCAUGAGCACGAACUUUCAACCUGUAGUAUACCUCGACAGGUCAACCCAGAACCAUUAUAUUUGUCUCUUCUAUCUAUAAGACGCCUGCUCAUAUCAUUUAUGUAGAUCUAAAGCUUCAGCCUUUGUGCCAAUAUAUUUUUUAACUGUUGUA
Long non-coding RNA from Triticum aestivum (bread wheat), 1948 nucleotides. RefSeq lists it as uncharacterized. The transcript has 3 exons. Lineage: Eukaryota; Viridiplantae; Streptophyta; Magnoliopsida; Poales; Poaceae. The record is from RefSeq and is a predicted model, not a curated record.